CCAGGCUAGAGUGCAGUGGCAUAAUCACAGUUUACUGUAGCCUCCACUCCUGGGCUCGAGUGAUCCUCCCAUCUCAGCCUCCUGAGUAGCUGGGACUACAGGCAUGUGCCACCAUGCC
Molecule: long non-coding RNA, 118 nt
Organism: Sapajus apella (tufted capuchin)
Lineage: Eukaryota; Metazoa; Chordata; Mammalia; Primates; Cebidae
Exons: 3
Source: RefSeq, a predicted model, not a curated record